Molecule: ribosomal RNA, 271 nt
Filed under: uncultured bacterium
Lineage: Bacteria
Description: partial 16S ribosomal RNA
Rfam family: Bacterial small subunit ribosomal RNA
Source: RNAcentral
GACGAACUGUCCUAACGUUGUUCGGAAUCACUGGGCUUAGAGGGCGCGUAGGCGGUCCGAUAAGUCGGGGGUGAAAUCCUGCAGCUUAACUGCAGAAGUGCCUUCGAUACUGUCGGUCUUGAGGGAGAUAGGGGUGUGCGGAACUUCCAGUGGAGCGGUGAAAUGCGUUGAUAUUGGAAGGAACGCCGGAGGCGAAAGCGGCGCACUGGAUCUCUUCUGACGCUGAGGCGCGAAAGCUAGGGGAGCAAACGGGAUUAGAAACCCUGGUAGU